GGGGAUGUAGCGCAGCUGGGAGCGCGCCUGAAUCGCACUCAGGAGGCCGGGGGUUCGAACCCCCCCAUCUCCACCA
This 76-nucleotide transfer RNA is filed under the name Candidatus Omnitrophota bacterium. Its description in RNAcentral is "tRNA-Ala". It matches the Rfam family "tRNA". From Rfam's summary of the family: Transfer RNA (tRNA) molecules are approximately 80 nucleotides in length. The record is from RNAcentral. Lineage: Bacteria; Pseudomonadati; Candidatus Omnitrophota.